Molecule: ribosomal RNA, 902 nt
Filed under: Catunica adiposa
Lineage: Eukaryota; Fungi; Ascomycota; Sordariomycetes; Microascales; Ceratocystidaceae
Description: LSU rRNA
Rfam family: Eukaryotic large subunit ribosomal RNA
Source: RNAcentral
AGCAUAUCAAUAAGCGGAGGAAAAGAAACCAACAGGGAUUGCCCUAGUAACGGCGAGUGAAGCGGCAACAGCUCAAAAUUUGAAAUCUGGCUACUUCGUAGUCCGAGUUGUAAUUUGUAGAGGAUGCUUUUGGUGAAGUGCUUUCUGAGUUCCCUGGAACGGGACGCCAGAGAGGGUGAGAGCCCCGUACAGUUAGCAACUGAUCCUUUGUAUAGCUCCUUCGACGAGUCGAGUAGUUUGGGAAUGCUGCUCUAAAUGGGAGGUAUAUCUCUUCUAAAGCUAAAUAUAGGCUAGAGACCGAUAGCGCACAAGUAGAGUGAUCGAAAGAUGAAAAGCACUUUGAAAAGAGAGUUAAACAGCACGUGAAAUUGUUGAAAGGGAAGCGCCUAUGACCAGACUUGUCUCUAUCAGUUUUGGUAGUUUUCGGACUGCUUUACUCUGUUAGUACAGGCCAACAUCAGUUUGUUGUCGGGGAGAAAGGCUUAGGGAAUGUGGCUCCUUCGGGAGUGUUAUAGCCCUUUGCAUAAUACCCUUCGGCAGACUGAGGACCGCGCUUCGGCAAGGAUGUUGGCGUAAUGGUCAUCAGCGACCCGUCUUGAAACACGGACCAAGGAGUCAACCUUAUAUGCGAGUGUUUGGGUGUAAAACCCCAGCGCGUAAUGAACGUGAACGUAGGUGAGAGCUUCGGCGCAUCAUCGACCGAUUCUGAUGUUCUCGGAUGGAUUUGAGUAAGAGCAUAUAGGGUUGGACCCGAAAGGAAGGUGAACUAUGCUUGUAUAGGGUGAAGCCAGAGGAAACUCUGGUGGAGGCUCGCAGCGGUUUCUGACGUGCAAAUCGAUCGUCAAAUAAUGAGCAUGGGGGCGAAAGACUAAUCGAACCUUCUAGUAGCUGGUUCCAGCCGA